Molecule: ribosomal RNA, 425 nt
Filed under: uncultured bacterium
Lineage: Bacteria
Description: partial 16S ribosomal RNA
Rfam family: Bacterial small subunit ribosomal RNA
Source: RNAcentral
GUGGGGAAUAUUGGACAAUGGGCGAAAGCCUGAUCCAGCCAUGCCGCGUGAGUGAUGAAGGCCUUAGGGUUGUAAAGCUCUUUCAGUAGGGAAGAUAAUGACGGUACCUACAGAAGAAGCCCCGGCUAACUUCGUGCCAGCAGCCGCGGUAAUACGAAGGGGGCUAGCGUUGUUCGGAUUUACUGGGCGUAAAGCGCACGUAGGCGGAUUGGUCAGUUAGAGGUGAAAUCCUGGAGCUCAACUCCAGAACUGCCUUUAAUACUGCCAGUCUAGAGUCCAGAAGAGGUGAGUGGAAAUCCUAGUGUAGAGGUGGAAUUCGUAGAUAUUAGGAAGAACACCAGUGGCGAAGGCGGCUCACUGGUCUGGUACUGACGCUGAGGUGCGAAAGCGUGGGGAGCAAACAGGAUUAGAAACCCCUGUAGUCC